RNAcentral lists this ribosomal RNA (327 nucleotides) under uncultured eukaryote. RNAcentral describes it as "partial 18S ribosomal RNA". It matches the Rfam family "Eukaryotic small subunit ribosomal RNA", at positions 1470 to 1796 of the family's 1831-position model. The record is from RNAcentral.
CCCUUAGAUGUUCUGGGCCGCACGCGCGCUACACUGACGAAUGCACCGAGCUUAUAACCUUGGCCGAAAGGUCUGGGUAAUCUCCAAAUUUCGUCGUGAUGGGGAUAGAUUAUUGCAAUUAUUAAUCUUCAACGAGGAAUGCCUAGUAAGCGCAAGUCAUCAGCUUGCGUUGAUUACGUCCCUGCCCUUUGUACACACCGCCCGUCGCUCCUACCGAUUGAAUGGUCCGGUGAAGCGUUCGGACCGUGGCCUUUGGACGGUUCGCCGUCUGUUGGCUGCGGGAAGUUCGUUAAACCUUAUCAUUUAGAGGAAGGAGAAGUCGUAACA